GGAGAGAUGCGAGAGCGGUUGAAUCGGACGGUCUCGAAAACCGUUAAACUCGUAAGGGUUUCGAGGGUUCGAAUCCCUCUCUCUCCG
RNAcentral lists this transfer RNA (87 nucleotides) under Treponema sp. Its description in RNAcentral is "tRNA-Ser". It matches the Rfam family "tRNA". From Rfam's summary of the family: Transfer RNA (tRNA) molecules are approximately 80 nucleotides in length. Lineage: Bacteria; Pseudomonadati; Spirochaetota; Spirochaetia; Treponematales; Treponemataceae. The record is from RNAcentral.